RNAcentral lists this long non-coding RNA (5388 nucleotides) under Trifolium pratense (red clover). RNAcentral describes it as "long non-coding RNA (TPRA_LNC002389)". The record is from RNAcentral. Lineage: Eukaryota; Viridiplantae; Streptophyta; Magnoliopsida; Fabales; Fabaceae.
UAAGUUAUGAUCACCUCCCCUUUCAUUUGAAAAACUGUUUUGCUUUUUGUUCUUUGUUUCCACAAGAUUUUUUAAUUGAGAAGCAAAUGCUGAUUCGACUUUGGAUUGCACAAGGAUUUGUUCAGUCAUCAGGCGAAAAUAUCAGUUUAGAAGAUAUUGGUGAAAAGUACUUCAUGGAUUUUGUUCCAAAAUAUCACCGAACGGUUUGGCAAGGUAUGUUUCCAAAUGCAUGAUAUUCUGCAUGAUUUGGCCAGUGUUAUUUCAAGAAGCGACUAUGUUUUAGUUAAUGAAACGGGGCAACAUGUUGACAAAGACAUUCGUCAUGUCUCUUUUGGCUUUAAAUUUGAUUCUUCCUGGCAGGUUCCAACUUCUCUUCUCAAUGCUUACAAACUAAGGACAUUUUUAUUACCACUUCAUACAAUUUAUUAUGAGUUUUCAAUGGAAGUGUCUGCGCAUGCUUGUAAUUCCAUCUUGUCAAGUUUUACACGGUUUCGUGUGUUGCAUCUUAACUGCACAGUGUCAAUGAAGAUUCCAUCUUGUAUUGGUAGGAUGAAACAUCUAAGGUAUCUUGACCUUUCUUUAAGUCAUAGAGUUAAAGAGCUUCCAAGGUCUAUAACUGGAUUGAUUAAUUUGGAGACUCUUUUACUCAAUCAUUGUUUUAGCUUGAGAGAGUUGCCCAAAGAUCUUUGGAAGUUGGUAAGUCUUCGACAUCUUGAGUUGGAGAGGUGCUCUGCAUUAACUUGUAUGCCACGUGGAAUAGGAAAAAUGACUAAGCUUCAAACACUGACACAAUUUGUGUUAGAUACGACUUCCAAAGACAGUGCUAAAGCUAGUGAGCUAUGCGGAUUAAGUAAUUUGAGGGGAGAACUAGAGAUAAAAGGCUUGGAAUGCUGGAGGCAUUGUCCUACAGAAGCUAAGCAUAUCAAUUUAACAGGGAACUCACAUCUUCAUCGGUUAAAAUUAAAUUGGAAUUCACUAAUUGUUGGUGAUGUCAAUGACCUGGAAAAAGAUGAUUCAAUUCUACAGGACAUAGUGCUGCACUCCAACAUCAAGGUCUUAAUAAUAUGUGGUUUCGGUGGUGUCAGAAUGUCUAGUUUGGUCAAUUUAUCUUCAAAUUUGGAUGAAUUGAGUUUAUUCAAUUGCACGAGAUUGCAACAUCUCCAACUUGCACAGUUGCAUGUCAAACGCAUCAUCAUGAAUAUUUUGCCUUCCCUUGAGUGGAUAGUCAACGACAACAAUGGUGAUAAUUCAUCAACAUUUUGUGCAUCACUCACAGAGAUAGAUCUUUAUAUGUUACCUAAUCUUAAAAGAUGGUGCAGGUGUAGUGAAGAAGAAAUUUCUAAGGGUUGUCGUCAUCAAUUUAAGAGUCUUGAUAAUUUAUCGAUUGAUAAUUGUCAAAAUCUAAUUUCCAUUCCACAGCACAUAGAUAUCAAGAAAAUAAAGCUUUGGAAUGUCACAUCAAAGAUAUUACAACAAGCAGUCACUCAUUCCAAGGUGGAGUUUCUUGAUAUAACUUUAAUACUUAAUUUUAAAUCUCUAUGUGGAGUCCUUCAACAUUUCACUGGAGUGUGUGAAUUGAGUAUCAGUCGUUGCGAGGAGUUUGAUCCGUGCAAUGAUGAAGAUGGUUGUUACAGCAUGAAAUGGAAAGAACUCACAAACCUCAAAGUGUUGACUUUUGAAGGAAUCCCAAAAAUGAAAUAUUUGCCUGAGGGGCUUCAGCACAUUACCACUUUACAAACUCUAAGAAUCAAAGAUUGUGUCAACCUUACAUCUAUACCUGAAUGGGCAACAUCACUGCAAGUGUUAGAUAUCAAAAAAUGACCGAUGGUGACGUCUCUGCCUGCGGCGGUGGAAGAUCAAUAGGUCCGAUUUGUGAUUUAUCACGUUCUCUGCUGUGGACAAAGUUAUCAACUGAGGUAUGAUUGAAACUAUCUAAAAUUAAUAUGUUUUAUUUGUUUAUUAUUCCAUUCCUCAUCUAAUAUAUGUUUUUGUUUUGGCAUAUGAAGUUAAAUUGGAAGCUUGCUUAGGGAGGAAUGAAUCAGCAGUUAGUGUGACCAAAUAAAUAAUUAAUAUGUCCCUUACAUUGAGGUAAGCACGACUUCACAACUUAUACAUUAAGUUAAUAUUAACAUUGUCUAUUAGUCUUAUAUCAUUAUAUAAUGUGGAAAUUUUUUCCUAUUAGCAGGUUAAUAAAACUGCUCAAUGGACAUCAAUAAUGGACCGGACAUCUAACCAAAUUGUUAAGAGAUAUACUGUCAUAUCUGUCUUAGGAUGUCGAGCUUUCCCAUCUUUAAGAAUGAUGGAAAGAUGGUAACUACUCAAGUCAAAGCCCCUAGACAAGCAUAAAAUGUGUAGGUUCUGUCAAUUUUCUCCUCUUCGGUUUAUAAUGAUGGUAUAAAAUGUGUAUGUUCAUUUUUGCUAGCAGGUUGAAACUUAUGUUGAUCGUACCGAUUUCUUAUUUCAACCUAACUUCUCAAGAACCAGAAUGUGCCUCUCAAUGGCGUCUCCGAGUUUUAGGAGGCUACGUGCAAAAUAUAAAAGUGGUCCUUUAAUAAAAAAAAUUAUCGAUUUAAAUUGCAUAUAAUAUAUAUAAAAAAAAUAUUCUUAUUCUUGUAAAUAUGUAAAUUAUCAAUAUUAUUGCAUUAAAUGAAAUCAAAUAGGACAAGAAAUACAAAAUAAUUAUCUUUGUAUAUAAUGUCAAAAAGGAACAUCCUAAUCUAAGAUUAAAUUUUAUGCAACGAUUAAAAUGACUAGAACUAUAUUUACGAGUAUAGAUAACUAAUCUAUUGAUACUCAUGUGAUAUUUUAUGAACAUUAACAACUAGUAUUAUUUUAGGGCCUAAAAAUUAAUCUAUUAAUAUAGAUAUGCUAUUUUAUAGAUAUAAAUAAUAUAUAAGUAAUAUUAUAGAACCUCAAAAUUUUGAGUUGAGGCCCUCAAAAUUUUGAAGCUCGAUGCCGUCGCACAUGCCGCACAUGUGUGCAAGCCACCCGCUGGUGUCUCUACUCUUACAUUUUUUAAGUGCCUCUCGUAUAAUAUUUCAAUUUAGCUAGUCUCCUAAAUGUGUUUAUCUAAUUACCCUCUGAGGUUUAUUAUAAGGGUUCUGAAUUAUUUCUUGUUUCUAGCUGAAUUUAUAAAUAUGGUUUGCAGAAAUUUGAUUACAUAUUCACAUUUUACCUCCAUUGCUUGUUAGAAAAGUUAGAGUUUUUCAUGAUUUUGGUGUCGUUGAUAAGUGAUAACUAUUGGUAAUAUUGUGUGGUUCCUGUUUUACCAAUCUGCACAACCAGUAAAGCUUCUACCAUGAUAGCACAGGACACCUAUUAUACAGGGCUUGUCCUGUGUCCGACAUGUGCCUGCAAAGUCAUACCAUUUCAAUUGACAUUCCAAUUCACAAUUCUCAUAUAAUUUUCAUGACUAAUUGAACAAAUUAAGCAGAAGAAAUCAAACUUUUAACCAUAUAUGUUAAUAAAUAAAUGAUAACAAAUUAAUCAACCGAGUCUUCAAUGAAAUUUACUGAAUACUGAAGACUUCAACUAUGUAUUUAUUUUUUUCAUGAUAUGAUAUUAGUUACAACUAUAUAAAUGUCAUAAUUUAAUAUAAUGUUUAUUGAAAUUUUUGUAAUCACAACUAUGAUGGCAUCAACCACAUUUAUAUAAAAUUUAUGGGAGGAUAUCACAUAUUUUUUUUCUACUUAUAUCUACCUUCUUUUUGGUUCUUAUCAACUAUGAUGGCAUCAACCACGUUUAUUGAGGGAAGACUCAGCUCUCCUAAUAAACAAAACAUUCCUGUUGUAUUUAUCAUCCGUCAUUACUAAUAAAAAAAUAUGAAUAAACAAUCAUUAAAUUCUUAAACAAAAGAAGAACAAAUGCUUUGACCUUACAUUACAUCUUUGCAAACUAGAUCUGAUAUCUCUUAACAAAACACUCUGAAAACUUGUACCUGUCUGAAUUCACUUGUGACAAAAAUGGCUGAAGGUUUGUUGUUUAACACGAUUGAGAAGCUGAUCGGGAAGCUGGGUUCUAUGGCUGUGGAGACCUGGAACAUGAGAGAUGAUCUUGAAAAGCUGGUGGAAAACAUGUCUGAGAUCAAGGCUGUGGUUUUGGAUGCAGAGGAGCAGCAGAGCAACAGCCAUCAAGUUCAACUUUGGUUGGAAAAGCUCAAAGAUGCUCUUGAUGAUGCAGAUGACUUGCUUGAUGACUUCAACACUGAAGAGUUAAGGCGACAGGUGAUGACCAGUGACAAGAAGGCUAAGAAGUUUCGCAUCUUCUUCUCAUCUUCUAACCAAAUUUUCUAUUCAUUCAAAAUGGCUGGGAAAAUUAAGGAACUUGGUAAGAUAAUUCAGGACCUUAAUGUUGGUAAAAGAACUUUUAACUUUACAAAUCGUACUCCUGAGCGACGAGUUUUGAAACAAAGAGAAACUCAUUCCUUUGUUCGUGAGGAAGAAGUCAUCGGAAGAGAGGAGGAGAAGAAAGAGUUGCUAGAGUUGUUGUUUGACAACAGCAUCAAUGUGAAAGACAAUGUUUCAGUUAUUUCCAUAAUUGGAGUUGGAGGACUUGGAAAGACUACGCUUGCUCAACAUGUAUACAACGACAAACAAGUGCAACAACACUUUGAAUUGAAGAAAUGGGUGUGUGUUUCUGAUGAUUUUGAUGUAAAAGGUAUUGCUGCAAAGAUCAUCGGAUCAAAAACUAAUAUUGUUGAGAUGGAUAAAGUGCAGCUGGAGCUUCGCGAAAAAGUUGAGGGCAAGAGAUAUCUGCUUGUCUUGGAUGACAUUUGGAAUGAGGAUGGUGAUCUUUGGCUUCAAUUGAUGACACUACUGAAAGACGGAGCAAAAGGAAGUAAAAUAAUUAUCACCACGAGAAGUGAGAUGGUAGCCAAGGUAUGUCGUUCAUCUUCAAUCUUCUUUUUAAAGGGUCUUGAUGAAAAACAAUCUUGGAGAUUAUUCAGCCAACUAGCUUUUGAGAAUGAAAAGGAUCUAGAGAAUGAGAAUUUGGUGUCAAUUGGCAAGGAAAUUGUGAAAAAAUGCUCAGGUGUUCCUCUCGCCAUUAGAAUCAUUGGAUGCCUAAUGUUAACCAUGGAGGAUUGGUCAACUUUCAAGAACAAAGAUCUUGUGAAAAUUGAUGAACAAGGUGGCCAUAAAAUUUUUCAACUUAUCAAACUAAGUUAUGAUCACCUACCCUUUCAUUUGAAAAACUGUUUUGCUUUUUGUUCUUUGUUUCCACAAGAUUUUGAAAUUGAGAAGCAAAUGCUGAUUCGCCUUUGGAUUGCACAAGGAUUUGUUCAGUCAUCAGAUGAAAAUAUAAGUUUAGAAGAUAUUGGUGAAAAGUACUUCAUGGAUUUUGUUCAUAAGUCUUUCUUUCAAAAUAUCACCAAACGAUUUGAUGGCAAGG